GCAUAGGUGGUUCAGUGGUAGAAUGCUCGCCUGCCACGCGGGCGGCCUGGGUUCGAUUUGCAUGCA
Molecule: transfer RNA, 66 nt
Filed under: Cordylochernes scorpioides
Lineage: Eukaryota; Metazoa; Arthropoda; Arachnida; Pseudoscorpiones; Chernetidae
Description: tRNA-Gly
Source: RNAcentral